UGAGGAAUAUUGGACAAUGGAGGCAACUCUGAUCCAGCCAUGCCGCGUGCAGGAAGACUGCCCUAUGGGUUGUAAACUGCUUUUAUAGAGGAAGAAACCCCGGUAUGUAUACCGGUCUGACGGUACUCUACGAAUAAGGAUCGGCUAACUCCGUGCCAGCAGCCGCGGUAAUACGGAGGAUCCAAGCGUUAUCCGGAAUCAUUGGGUUUAAAGGGUCCGUAGGCGGGCUUGUAAGUCAGUGGUGAAAGUUUACGGCUCAACCGUGAAAUUGCCAUUGAUACUGCAGGUCUUGAAUCAUUAUGAAGUGGUUAGAAUGUGUAGUGUAGCGGUGAAAUGCAUAGAUAUUACACAGAAUACCGAUUGCGAAGGCAGAUCACUAAUAAUGUAUUGACGCUAAGGGACGAAAGCGUGGGUAGCGAACAGGAUUAGAUACCCCCGUAGUCC
RNAcentral lists this ribosomal RNA (444 nucleotides) under uncultured prokaryote. RNAcentral describes it as "bacterial SSU rRNA". It matches the Rfam family "Bacterial small subunit ribosomal RNA", at positions 355 to 796 of the family's 1533-position model. The record is from RNAcentral.